Molecule: long non-coding RNA, 320 nt
Filed under: Canis lupus dingo (dingo)
Lineage: Eukaryota; Metazoa; Chordata; Mammalia; Carnivora; Canidae
Description: lncRNA (ENSCAFG00020007726.1)
Source: RNAcentral
AUUGUGAGGGCACAGAGACUUGGUCAUAGAAAGUCAAACUUCCAAGGCUGGGGAACCAGAACUCUGGGAGCCUGUUGGAGUGACACGUGGAAGGUGGAUAUCGAAGGUAUACUUUUGAUGUGAUCCAGUACACGUUCUCCUUUCAGAUCAUCAAGAGAGAAGCUGUAAGUGGUAUCACUGCCUCAUAUUGGAGAAGCACGUGGGGGUUUAUAAGCAGGUGACAGUUCUAGGGACCUUUGGCUUUAAGUAGCUGUCUCUUCCCCAGAUUCAUAUUUAGGUUCAGUCCACUCUUGAGUCUUUAUCAAUAUUUUCCUCAAGAC